RNAcentral lists this ribosomal RNA (866 nucleotides) under uncultured bacterium. RNAcentral's name for it is "SSU rRNA". It matches the Rfam family "Bacterial small subunit ribosomal RNA", at positions 524 to 1381 of the family's 1533-position model. The record is from RNAcentral.
GACGGGAGGGGCGAGCGUUACCCGGAUUUACUGGGUGUAAAGGGUCCGUAGGCGGCUAGAAAAGUCGGAUUUUAAAUGCUCUGGCUCAACCAGAGAUAUGGGUUCGAUACUUUCUGGCUACGAGUCCGGAGGAGGAAAACGGAACUGCCGGUGUAGCGGUGAAAUGUGUAGAUAUCGGCAGGAACACCAGUGGCGAAGGCGGUUUUCUAUUCCGGUACUGACGCUGAGGGACGAAAGCGUGGGGAGCGAUCGGGAUUAGAUACCCCGGUAGUCCACGCCGUAAACGAUGGGUGUUAGGUGCCGGUCCGGUAACUCGGAUUGGUGCCGAAGCUAACGCGAUAAACACCCCACCUGGGGACUACGGCCGCAAGGUUGAAACCCAAAGGAAUUGACGGGGGCCCGCACAACCGGUGGAGUAUGUGGUUUAAUUCGAUGAUACGCGAGGAACCUCACCUGGGCUUGACAUUCUGGUCGUAGAAGUCCGAAAGGGCGACGACCCGCCGUAAGGCGGGAGCCAGAACAGGUGUUGCAUGGCUGUCGUCAGCUCGUGCCGUGAGGUGUUGGGUUAAGUCCCGGAACGAGCGCAACCCUUGCCCGUAGUUACUCGCCUUAAAGGCAGCACUCUACGGGGACUGCCGUGGUUAACACGGAGGAAGGCGGGGAUGACGUCAAGUCAGCACGACCCUUAUGUCCAGGGCUACACACGUACUACAAUGGUCGGUACAAAGGGACGCCAAGCCGCGAGGUGGAGCAAAUCCCAGAAAACCGGCCCCAGUUCGGAUUGCAGGCUGCAACCCGCCUGCAUGAAGCUGGAAUCGGUAGUAAUCGCGGAUCAGCCAAGCCGCGGUGAAUACGUUCUCGGGCCU